RNAcentral lists this ribosomal RNA (250 nucleotides) under uncultured bacterium. RNAcentral describes it as "partial 16S ribosomal RNA". It matches the Rfam family "Bacterial small subunit ribosomal RNA", at positions 524 to 773 of the family's 1533-position model. The record is from RNAcentral.
UACGGAGGGUGCAAGCGUUAUCCGGAUUCACUGGGUUUAAAGGGAGCGUAGGUGGCUUUGUAAGUCAGUGGUGAAAUAUUGCGGCUCAACCGCAAAACUGCCAUUGAUACUGCUUAGCUUGAAUCACGUCGAGGUGGAUGGAAUAAUACAUGUAGCGGUGAAAUGCUUAGAUAUGUAUUAGAACACCGAUUGCGAAGGCAGUUCACUAGGCGUGUAUUGACACUGAGGCUCGAAAGCGUGGGGAUCAAAC